Molecule: ribosomal RNA, 492 nt
Filed under: uncultured bacterium
Lineage: Bacteria
Description: partial 16S ribosomal RNA
Rfam family: Bacterial small subunit ribosomal RNA
Source: RNAcentral
AUUGAACGCUGGCGGCAUGCUUUACACAUGCAAGUCGAACGGUAACAGGUUAAGCUGACGAGUGGCGAACGGGUGAGUAAUGCAUCGGGACGUGCCCGGUCGUGGGGGAUAACGCAGCGAAAGCUGCGCUAAUACCGCAUACGAUCUGAGGAUGAAAGCGGGGGACCGUAAGGCCUCGCGCGAUCGGAGCGGCCGAUGUCAGAUUAGGUAGUUGGUGGGUAAAGGCUCACCAAGCCAACGAUCUGUAGCUGGUCUGAGAGGACGACCAGCCACACUGGGACUGAGACACGGCCCAGACUCCUACGGGAGGCAGCAGUGGGGAAUUUUGGACAAUGGGCGAAAGCCUGAUUCAGCAAUGCCGCGUGCAGGAAGAAGGCCUUCGGGUUGUAACCUGCUUUUGUACGGAGCGAAAAGGUCUCCUCUAAUACAGGGGGCUCAUGACGGUACCGUAAGAAUAAGCACCGGCUAACUACGUGCCAGCAGCCGCCGUAA